This 774-nucleotide ribosomal RNA is filed under the name uncultured Neocallimastigales. RNAcentral's name for it is "partial large subunit ribosomal RNA". It matches the Rfam family "Eukaryotic large subunit ribosomal RNA", at positions 24 to 644 of the family's 3401-position model. Lineage: Eukaryota; Fungi; Neocallimastigomycota; Neocallimastigomycetes; Neocallimastigales. The record is from RNAcentral.
GUAGUCUCGCACAGAUGCAUAUCAAUAAGCGGAGGAAAAGAAACUAACAAGGAUUCCCCUAGUAACGGCGAGUGAAGCGGGAAGAGCUCAAAUUUGAAAUCUUAAAGGGUUUCCCUUUACGAAUUGUAGUUUAAAGAAGUGUUUUCUGUUGAGGUUUUGGUAAAAGUUCUUUGGAAUAGGACAUCAUAGAGGGUGAGAAUCCCGUAUUUGACCUUUACUUUCAACUUUGUGAUACACUUUCAAAGAGUCGGAUUGUUUGGGAAUGCAGUCCAAAAUGGGUGGUAAAUUUCAUCUAAAGCUAAAUAUUGGCGAGAGACCGAUAGCGAACAAGUACCGUGAGGGAAAGAUGAAAAGAACUUUGAAAAGAGAGUUAAACAGUACGUGAAAUUGUCAAAAGGGAAGCGUUUGACACCAGUGUUGUUUUUCUGAAAAUCAAUUAAAGAACUGUUUAUGCUAAGCUGUUUAGACUUUAUCAGCUAACUGUUUAGUUUUGAGCUUUUCUUUAAUGCACUUUUCAGUUAACAAGUCAACAUCAAUUUCUUUUGCUGUAAAAAAGCUUGAGGAAGGUGGCUUGAGAUUCGUCUUAAGUGUUUAUAGCCUCUUGCCUAUGCAGUCGGAGAGAUUGAGGUCUGCAGCGUAGAUCCUUCGGGGCUAAAUGCAUUUGUGCUAAGUUAUAGCAUUUUAUAGACAACUUGUUGACUAUGAUUUGUCUUGUAGCUUACUCGCUUAUGUUAUUUUACCUACGCUUAGGAUGUUGAACUACUGAGACAUAGA